AUUCCCAUGGGGCCAAUCUGAGGCCUGCGUGACACCUGUAAUACCUUUUCAGGGUGGCCAUCCUGCAGGCAGACAGCAGGAAGGACUGCGAGGAGUGGAUUGCUACCAUUAACAACAUCUCAAAGAGGAUCUAUCUCAGUGAAAACCCUGAGGAAAUUGCCGCCCGUGUGAACCAGUCGGCUUUGGAGGCAGUGACACCGUCGCCCUCCUUCCAGCAAAGGCACGAGAACAUGCGGCCAAGCGCACCAGGCCGCCCCAAAGCAACGCGCACCAGCAGCCAGGGCUCCGACUCCCCGGCCCUCUCCUCUCUCUCCUCCCUCUCCCUGGACUCCCUAGUGGCUCCCAACACGCCCAUCCAGUUCGACAUCAUCUCGCCUGUCAGCGAGGAAUGCGGCGGCCAGGCGAAGAGCUCCGGGCAGGCGGGCAGGUCUGGUCCCUCACCACCGUCCCACAAGCCCUGUGAUGCACACAGGUGUAUACACGUAGGCCAGGAGUCGCCUGGAGUCAUGUGACCACACAUACAACCACACACAACCACACACUUGUAGCAGGCAGGAGAUUUGCUGUCAUUGGCUCAUAUCAUUCAAUGCAUUUGAAUAUAUGGGGCUCUUAGGGUAUGUGAAAGCUGUGCUGAAUACUUAAAAAUUUUAUUAUUAUGCAGUUUACAUCAUUUUAACUUAUGACACAUAAUUCAAAGAAAAAAUAACCAGAGGAUAUAUGGCGUUAUUUUUA
This is a non-coding RNA of Paramormyrops kingsleyae, 732 nucleotides long. NCBI's taxonomy places the organism in Eukaryota, Metazoa, Chordata, Actinopteri, Osteoglossiformes, Mormyridae. The record is from RefSeq and is a predicted model, not a curated record.